Long non-coding RNA from Syngnathus acus (greater pipefish), 122 nucleotides. RefSeq lists it as uncharacterized. The transcript is spliced from 3 exons. Lineage: Eukaryota; Metazoa; Chordata; Actinopteri; Syngnathiformes; Syngnathidae. The record is from RefSeq and is a predicted model, not a curated record.
AAGGCAGACCUAAGAUGCUGGUCCAGCGAAGAAUUUUCUUCCCAGGUCUUUCUUUUCCAGGUCCUCCUAAUGGACGCUGGCUUGUCGACAAUGCAGCACGUCGUUCUUUGACAGACAGAUAG